Molecule: unclassified non-coding RNA, 419 nt
Filed under: soil metagenome
Description: partial contains 5.8S ribosomal RNA, internal transcribed spacer 2, and large subunit ribosomal RNA
Rfam family: 5.8S ribosomal RNA (bases 1-120)
Source: RNAcentral
GAUGAAGAACGCAGCGAAUUGCGAUAUGUAAUGUGAAUUGCAGAAUUCAGUGAAUCAUCGAAUCUUUGAACGCAUCUUGCACUCUUUGGUCUUCCAAAGGGUAUGCCUGUUUGAGUAUCAUUAAUCAUAUCAAUACAAAUCAAAUCAAUCAAAUCAAAUUGAUACUUUGAUAUGUGUUUGGAUGUUGAAGGUAUGUUGGCCUUGCGGUUAGCUCCUUUUAAAUGAAUUAGCAGAACCAUUCAGGGACUGGCUUCAGUUUGAUAAUGAACAUUUUAUCGACGCUGUUGCUUGUUAUUUUUGUUGUUCAGCUGAUAAUUGUCCAUUUUUUUGGACUGUCCUUUAAGGACAUCUAAUUCUUUAACUGAUCUCAAAUCAGGUAGGAUUACCCGCUGAACUUAAGCAUAUCAAUAAGCGGAGGA